UAAAUAAAACAACAUACCUAAUAAUCUUUAAAGCUCAUUAUUCAUUUUUAAAGCCAUGUGUUUCACAAAAUGAAAUGUUUACUUCGUCUUUUACAAUGCAAGAUAUUAAGUAAUACGCCCGAACUAAAUAUCUCGUGGAAGAGCCGUAGCCAAGGACUCUGAUGGAGAGGACUAGAUGAAUUGAAUUUAAUAGUGAUCGGUGCGAUGUCCUGCUUGUAAAUAAAAAACGUUCCGAUGGAAUAACUUGAAUCAACAAAAGGUUUUACUAACCAGAGAUUUUAAUGAAGACUCGAAUUUCAUUGAAGAUGUUGCAAACUGAAACUUCUAACGCGACUUCCAAGCAAGGUUGCGUUAAACGUUUAACGCUACCAUGGAAUAGAAAGAGACAGAGCGAGAGUGAAUGCGUGGCACUCGAACGCAUCCGCAUAGCACACCUGCUACAGGCCAGCGCGAGCGUUAGCAACGAGUAGCGUCCAAUAUGUUAAGGAAGUAUUUAAAAAAAAUAUAGUACAUAUGUAUUAUAUAUUUAUAUAAAAUUAAUUUUGAAGAUUUCGCAUCUUUUGUACACAGCAUGCCCUAUUACAAGAGCAAUCUCAUUUAAGGAUGAAAAAUGAAGAAAACCACAAUAAUACACAUCGAAAAAGAAGUUUCACUUCAUUCACGCGCGCGGGUUCAACGGCCUUGCGUGAACGCGGGGGGCGCUGCCAGCUUCCUCUCUAUAUUUACGAUAAAAGCAAGUCACCAACAGUCGUCCCGCAGCAAGCCAGCAUCGCAGCCUCAACAGGACCAUCGCAGCCGACUCACCGCGCUUCCUGGCCCUACGGCACGCACCUACACUGCCUCAUCGCGCAGCAUUCAAGCUCAGUCUCGACUCACCGCAGACUUCGAGCAGCACUGGCGACAAUCACGCAGCAUUCAAGCUCAGUUGCGACUCACCGCAAACUUCGAGCAGCACUGGCACUUGCAAGCUAAUCUCAGCACGGACAACGAUAACUAAAAUGACACGACCUCCAGUCUCGGAGGGGAGUGAUGUGGCGGGUAGCCAUCAUACAACGCAAGAUAAUUGACAGAUGCCUGAAUCUCGCUUACGACAUUUCCAAGAUAAAGUGCAUAUAUACAAGUUCCGACCAACAACAUUCGGACCGUCGGUCUACCGAGCAAAUCUCACCCGCUCGGUGGAAGAUCUUUCCUUUCGUCGUAUAUUCCUACAUCGUGUUUCUUCUAACAGCUGUGUGUACAAAAUAUAUUAAAUAAAUAAAUAUAAUAGAAGAAUCUUCGAUCCUCCACCAAUGAAA
Molecule: long non-coding RNA, 1295 nt
Organism: Bombyx mori (domestic silkworm)
Lineage: Eukaryota; Metazoa; Arthropoda; Insecta; Lepidoptera; Bombycidae
Exons: 3
Source: RefSeq, a predicted model, not a curated record